GGGCCACCUAUAUAACACACACACACAACAAAAUAUUAUUACACACCAUAUCGACCAAAACUGGAACAGAUAGAUACAAUAACCGUAUUCUUAUAAUCAUAUAAGAGAACUAAAGGGUGGAGAAAGAAAAUGAGAAUAAAAGUAGAAAGAACAAAUGAAAGAAUGAGAAAAUGAUAUUAAAAAAUUACAGAAAGAGUGAACAGAAGAAAAGGAAUGCAGGAAGGAUAGAAAAAAAGAGACAAAGGAAAAAGAAAAAAGGAAUAAGGUUCAAAGAAAGAAUGAAGAAAAAAAUUAAAAAGAGAAAAACAAAGAAAGACAUGAUAAACUGACAGACAGAUGAAAGGAAUAAUUUAGAAAUAAACCUGGAGAAAGAAAAAGAAUAAGGUCAAAGGAAUGAACAAGAAAGAAAGAAAGAAAGCUGAGAAUGAAGGAGAAGGAAUAAGGUCAAAAAGGACAAAUGAAUGAAAAAGAAAAAGAAGAAAUUGAAAAAAGGAAUGAGAGAAUGAACAAAAAAUAAAAUAAUAAAUGAAAGAAAGAAGGAAAGCAAGAGAAAGGAAGAAUGAAUAAAUAAAUGAAUAAAAAUAAACGAAGGAAAGAAAGACAGGAGCAAGAAAGAGAAGAAAUAAAGCUGAAAAAGACUAAUAAAAAAAAACACAGAACAAAGGAAAUAAAUAAUAAAUAUAAAUCAACAAAAAAAUAUAUAAAUGAAAGAAAGAAAAAAUUAAAACUUUUAUUAUUAUUAUAUUAAUAAUAUUACUACUACUACUACUACUAAUAAUAAUAAUAAACUCAUUAGUUUGCUAUGUAGCUAUUAUCAUGUAAUAACUGACUAAAUAAAGGAAAAAUUAAGACGUUUUAAAAAUGGGAUUUGACGUUUCAGGGGCGGAGCUCCAACAAAAAAAAAAAACAAAAAUCGCCACACUUCUGAACGAUCACAUUGGAUAUGCAGAUUAAUUAGAGGAAGCUAAUCGAACCCUGUGCACUUUUACCUGCAGAACCUCCGGGCUAAGCUAGCUACCUAAUUGGCUGGCUACGUUAGCUAAUGUUAGUAAUGAACAGAUCUUGGUUGCUAUGGUAACAGUACCCAUAACCUAUGCAUGAGCAGUUAGCUUAUCAGCUAGCUAUGCAAGCUAAUGUGAUAGUACGAGGGCAAUAGGCGUGUCCAGAUUAGCAUAUUCAUAGGUCCUGAGAUUUGGGUUGAGGUUCUGGAGACUCUUGUUGAGGUUGCGUGUGCUGCUGGCCGCUCGGAUGUUGGUGUAGGAGUUAACGGAGCGGAGACGAGGGACCGCCGGACUGUCUCGCUCCCUCACCGGAGUCACGUUCCCCACCUCUGACAAGACAAAACACCGACCGAAAACACACACACAUACACAGUUAUUUGUGUCACAAUUAAAGCCAUGAUUUAUAGCUUACCUGCUAAUUAAAGCCAAGAUUAAUACUACAGGUGAGCUGUGUGUGUGUGUGAGUGUGUGUACACCUGUAGUGUUAGCAGGUGAGGGAGCUGCAUAGUUCUUCUCCUCCUCCAUGAACUGCAGAGCGACAGUACAGAAGUUGCUCUCAUACUGAACCACCAGGUGACUCAGAGCCACCACCAGCUCCUGCACACAGGGAACAGACACUCACACUGUCCACAGCGAGGAUUUUGGCCCAGAUGAAGACAAGGAGAGGACGAAGCUCUCGCGCUGAACUCUGUAACAACUUCAACACAUACGGAAAUAUCCCUACAGACAAAGCCUGAGAGAGAGAGAGAGAGAGAGAAAAGUGUAUUCUUGUUUGCUCCUCUUCAGAAGAUGAGUGUGUCCGUGUCCACGCUUCUGAUUAAUGUGGAAAGUAAAAGGUCUCACAGCACGAGGUGACUUUAACACAAAGGACAAACCGAAUCCCAUUAAACUGUCUGUUAAUCACACACACAGAAGCUAUUCGUACCCUUUCAGUGUAAAGUGGGUGGGGCUAAUGUUAGGUAAGCUUUUUUUUUCACUGUUCAAAGUAAAAGUUAAACUAAAGACUGAAAGUUAAAUGAGUUAACUAGUAACUGUUAAUAUGUUAAAGUUAAAACUAGCCAGUGAAAAUGCUAAUCUUCAAAAGUGAACGUUAAACUAGUGUUGAAUCUGUCAGUAUUUUCAGCGCUAAACCGCAGCACAUGAAUUUCCCUUUACAGGAAAAAUAAACUAGCUGUUAUUUAUCAGCACUCUGAUUGGUGAAGUGUGUGUGUGUGUGUGUGUGUUUAAUUUUCCAAUCGGCGCUCCUAUGGGAGCUGUUUGCGUUGAUUAAAGGCACCAAAUGACACAUUAGCGUCUCACAUCGCCACCUUUACUGCGUUUAUCUCCAUUUAAUUCCUGCUUCAGCAGCACAAACAGCACUUUACUCAUUUUAUAACACCAAGAACCCUGCGUGUAUGUGUGUGUGUGUGUGUGUGUGCAAUGUUACCAGGCUGACGGCCCA
Ictalurus furcatus (blue catfish) is the source of this 2442-nucleotide long non-coding RNA. RefSeq lists it as uncharacterized. The transcript is spliced from 3 exons. The record is from RefSeq and is a predicted model, not a curated record. Lineage: Eukaryota; Metazoa; Chordata; Actinopteri; Siluriformes; Ictaluridae.